CCUACGGGUGGCAGCAGUGGGGAAUAUUGGACAAUGGGCGAAAGCCUGAUCCAGCCAUGCCGCGUGUGUGAAGAAGGCCUUCGGGUUGUAAAGCACUUUCAGUGGGGAAGAAAGCCUUGAGGCUAAUACCCUCGAGGAAGGACAUCACCCACAGAAGAAGCACCGGCUAACUCCGUGCCAGCAGCCGCGGUAAUACGGAGGGUGCGAGCGUUAAUCGGAAUUACUGGGCGUAAAGCGCGCGUAGGCGGUCUGAUAAGCCGGUUGUGAAAGCCCCGGGCUCAACCUGGGAACGGCAUCCGGAACUGUCAGGCUAGAGUGCAGGAGAGGAAGGUAGAAUUCCCGGUGUAGCGGUGAAAUGCGUAGAGAUCGGGAGGAAUACCAGUGGCGAAGGCGGCCUUCUGGACUGACACUGACGCUGAGGUGCGAAAGCGUGGGUAGCAAACAGGAUUAGAUACCCCUGUAGUC
RNAcentral lists this ribosomal RNA (465 nucleotides) under Vreelandella stevensii. Its description in RNAcentral is "partial 16S ribosomal RNA". It matches the Rfam family "Bacterial small subunit ribosomal RNA", at positions 338 to 795 of the family's 1533-position model. Lineage: Bacteria; Pseudomonadati; Pseudomonadota; Gammaproteobacteria; Oceanospirillales; Halomonadaceae. The record is from RNAcentral.